RNAcentral lists this small RNA (466 nucleotides) under Malus domestica (apple). RNAcentral describes it as "sRNA MD15G0195000". The record is from RNAcentral. Lineage: Eukaryota; Viridiplantae; Streptophyta; Magnoliopsida; Rosales; Rosaceae.
CCUAUUUGACUUAACUGUAUUUAAUACAGAGAGGGAGAAGGGUCGGCGACAACAGAGAUAGAAGAGUGAGAUGUAAUUUUGAGGUAUGUACAAGUUCUCGUGUCCGCGGUCAUUAAGAAUGACGCUUCCCAACGUAACAUAUGGCUGCAAUUGGCUGUGGUUUUGGUGGGAAACACAAAACAACCAUAGCAACUGGACACCUCCUGCCUGGAACCCACCAUGCAAAUAAUCGACACAGAACAGACAUUUGCUCCCCCAAAACAAGAAGAUAAUCUUGCUUGCAACCGAAUAUAUACAUCGCUUUAACAUAAGAGGCAAUGUAUUUCAUUGACACGCCAUUUUCUCUCCACAUGGUAGGCAAGUUGAGACCAUGAUUGCUUACUGUAACAUUCAUUACGUGAUUUACAACAAGCACAUAUGGGCAAAAAUAUGUAGACGCAGGCCUUUAGCCUAUCGAAUUUUUCCG